This 2370-nucleotide long non-coding RNA is filed under the name Callithrix jacchus (white-tufted-ear marmoset). RNAcentral describes it as "lncRNA (ENSCJAG00000073861.1)". The record is from RNAcentral. Lineage: Eukaryota; Metazoa; Chordata; Mammalia; Primates; Cebidae.
CAGACAGCAUAUAUGACAAUGUUAUUAUAAGAUUAUUGUGGAGCCAAAACAUUCCUAUUACUCAUUGACACUGCACCCAUCCUAAGAUUAUAGCACAGGGCAUGUUUGUGGUAAUGCAGGUGUAAAUGAAAAACUUGCUGUGCUGUCCGUCAUAGAACGGUAUCACACAUAAAAUCACGUUCAGUGUACAAUACUUAAAAAUGAUAAUAAACAACUGUUACUGGUUUAUGUAUUUAUUAUAUUAUACAUUUGUCAUUACUUUAGAGUGUACUUAUUAUACUUGUGUUUUUAGGAAGUUAACUGUGAAAGAGUCCCAGGCAGUAUCUGCGGGAAGUAUUUCAGAACAUGGCAUUGUGAUCUCAGGAGAUGACAGCUUCAAGUGUGUUAUUGCCCCUGAAGGCCUCCCAGUGGGACAAAACAUGGAGGUGAAAGUAACAUUGAUGACCUGAUCCUGUGUAGGCCUAAGCUAAUGUGUUCAUUAGUGUCUUUCUUUGUUGAAAAGAGAUUCCUAUUUCAUGGACACUAUAUACAAGAUGAGUAUUGAAGCACAGCCAGGAAGCCAAGGAAAUGUUGAAGAGUGCUAGAGAAAGACUGCUGGGAGGGUCAAAGAAUGUCAGAGAAGGUCAAGAAACAUCAAACCCAGGAAGACUCUAAACGCAUGCCCAGAAGUCAGUAUCAUGGCACAAGCAAAGCUUCAAAAAUAUCAAGCUCUGGGAGUGAGGACGGAAGCCAAUGUGGAAGGCUAUCACUGGUCAAGUACUGGAACAUUUUUCAGAGACCAAAUAGAAGAAGGUCUUCCUACGUUGCCCAUGCUGGUCUCAAACUCCUGGCCUCAAGCAAUCCUCCCUCUGGUUUCCCAAAAUGCUGAGAUUACAGACAUGAGUCACUGCAUCCCAUCCAGCUAAAAAGCUGUUUUAAAUUUGAUGACAAAUCCUAGUACUGAUGUUCCAGCUUAGAUUUAACAGCAUAGCUGAAGUACAGAACUACAGUCAGGACCAGCUUUGUGGCCAUGCAACAUAAGCACAAGACACCAUGCAUUGAGAGACGUCACACUUACCUUAACACUGGUAUCACCAACUUAAAUUUCUUAAUAAAUUUUGAUCAAGUCACCCACUAUUUCUAUUUGGCACUAGGCCUUGCAACUUAAGUAGCCAGUUCUUACUACUGUCAAUAUUUUAUAUAGUUAUCAAUGUGUAACUUAGUAACAAAGAAGUUGGACUGGAAUUUGUGGCUUCUAAUAUGUUGUACUUGUGUCCUGAUAAUCACUUUCCAUGAACUACUUUGUGACUUUUGUGGCCUGGAAGGUAUCAUAUACUAGAAGGAUGGUGUUUAUCACAUUGCAGAAUCCUCACAAAUCAUUAUGUAUCUUUGGAUGAAAUUAACAACUAGUUAAACAGAUGGAACUACUAAUUUGAAAGCAAGGAACAUACGGUAUCUCUCACUGUCCCUCAUUAUAAGAGACAUACCUCAUUUUAGACCCAAGUGUAACUCUAUCCCACACAGACCUGAUGUUAUCUGACAUUUAUUAUGGUAAACUAUUUACAUGAGAAAUGCUACAUUAUGAAAAUAAGGCUACAGAAUAUCUUAUUUGUGCUUAGACAUUAAUCAUACAACUUUAAACCUCCUACAUCACACUUUCCAUGUGUUCUUCAUUCUGUUCUUUUACUCCAUAUUCUUUCUGCCCUUUAGUCUUGGACAUCUAAGAAAUUUAAAGUAAUAUGUUAGGCCUGUGUUUGUGAUAGCAUUUUGCCAAAUGUACAUGAUAAGCUAUACCAAAAGGAAUAUUGCACAGUUAUAUGAAGCUCCACUUUUAAAGGAGUGACUAUAAACUCAGCAUUUACAACCUCUGGUGAAACUAAUUUAAUAAGCUCCUAAAACACUGUUUCUGACAUUUUCAAUGGUUUGUUCCGGGGUAGAUGUUUGCACUUUUAGAAAGUAGUUGGUGUUUUAAGAUAACAUAUUUACAAUUGUAAGUUCUUAAUCAUUGGUCAUUGGCUAGAUAUAUCUGUUUAUCUCUCGUCAUUAUCUCUCUCCAUCUCCCUAUUGUCUAUCUAGAAUACAUUUGUUUCUGUUCCUUAGAAAAAAAAUUGUAAGUAGCUUUGAAGGGGGUUGUCAUAAAACGACUUGUCUCCCCUUAAUCUUUUCAGAGACAUCCCUUCAUUAUUAUGAUAAUGACUGAGGUAAAGAUCACACUAACAUACCUCUAAAGAAAACUAUAAGGAAAAGGGAAAUUAAAUGUACAUGCUCCUCAAAAACAAAACCUUAAAAAAUGACAUCAGAGGUUUUAGGUUGGGAUCAAAUAGAAGACGAAGAAGCAAUAAGAAAGCAUACAAAUAAUUUAGAAAUACAACAAUUUAGACUGAUUAAGGC